GACGAACGCUGGCGGCGUGCUUAACACAUGCAAGUCGAACGGAAAGGCCCUGCUUUUGUGGGGUUCUCGAGUGGCGAACGGGUGAGUAACACGUGAGUAACCUGCCCUUGACUUUGGGAUAACUUCAGGAAACUGGGGCUAAUACCGGAUAGGAGCUCCUGCAGCAUGGUGGGGGUUGGAAAGUUUCGGCGGUUGGGGAUGGACUCGCGGCUUAUCAGCUUGUUGGUGGGGUAGUGGCUUACCAAGGCUUUGACGGGUAGCCGGCCUGAGAGGGUGACCGGCCACAAUGGGACUGAGGUACGGCCCAGACGCGUACGGGAGGCAGCGGUGGGGAAUAUUGCACAGUGGGCGGAAGCCUGAUGCAGAAACGCCGCGUGCGGGAUGACGGCCUUCGGGUUGUAAACAGCUUUCGCCUGAGACGAAGCGGGAGUGACGGUAAUGGGUAAAGAAGCACCGGCUAACUACGUG
This 468-nucleotide ribosomal RNA is filed under the name uncultured bacterium. RNAcentral describes it as "partial 16S ribosomal RNA". It matches the Rfam family "Bacterial small subunit ribosomal RNA", at positions 28 to 507 of the family's 1533-position model. The record is from RNAcentral.